GACGAACGCUGGCGGCGUGCUUAACACAUGCAAGUCGAACGGAAAGGCCCUGCUUUUGUGGGGUGCUCGAGUGGCGAACGGGUGAGUAACACGUGAGUAACCUGCCCUUGACUUUGGGAUAACUUCAGGAAACUGGGGCUAAUACCGGAUAGGAGCCCCUGCUGCAUGGUGGGGGUUGGAAAGUUUCGGCGGUUGGGGAUGGACUCGCGGCUAAUCAGCUUGUUGGGGGGGUAGUGGCUUACCAAGGCAUUGACGGUAGCCGACCUGAGAGGGUGACCAGCCACAUUGGGACUAAGAGACGGCCCAGUCUCCUACGGGAGGCAACAGUGGGGAAUAUUGUACAAUGGGCGGAAGCCUGAUACAGCAACGCCGCGGUCGGAAUGACGGCCUUCUGGUUGUAAACCGCUUUCGCCUAAGACGAAGCGUGAGUGACGGUAAUGAGUAAAGAAGCACCGGCUAACUACGUG
RNAcentral lists this ribosomal RNA (467 nucleotides) under uncultured bacterium. Its description in RNAcentral is "partial 16S ribosomal RNA". It matches the Rfam family "Bacterial small subunit ribosomal RNA", at positions 28 to 507 of the family's 1533-position model. The record is from RNAcentral.